Molecule: ribosomal RNA, 255 nt
Filed under: Fructobacillus fructosus
Lineage: Bacteria; Bacillati; Bacillota; Bacilli; Lactobacillales; Lactobacillaceae
Source: RNAcentral
UUCAGAACGUCGUGAGACAGUUCGGUCCCUAUCCGUCGCGGGCGUAGGAAAUUUGAGAGGAGCUGUCCUNAGUACGAGAGGNCCGGGAUGGACAUACCGCUGGUGUACCAGUUGUUCNNCCNNGAGCAUCGCUGGGUAGCUAUGUAUGGAUGAGAUAAACGCUGAAAGCAUCAAAGUGUGAAACUCGCCUCGAGAUGAGAUUUCCCAUNUAAUCAAUAGAGUAAGACCCCUCAGAGAUGAUGAGGUAGAUAGGCU